UACGUAGGUGGCAAGCGUUGUCCGGAUUUACUGGGCGUAAAGAGCGCGCAGGCGGUCGUUCAAGUCGCGUGUGAAAGCCCCCGGCUCAACUGGGGAGGGUCACGCGAUACUGAUCGACUCGAAGGCAAGAGAGGGUAGUGGAAUUCCCGGUGUAGUGGUGAAAUGCGUAGAUAUCGGGAGGAACACCAGUGGCGAAGGCGACUACCUGGCCUGUUCUUGACGCUGAGGCGCGAAAGCUAGGGGAGCAAACGGG
RNAcentral lists this ribosomal RNA (253 nucleotides) under uncultured bacterium. RNAcentral describes it as "partial 16S ribosomal RNA". It matches the Rfam family "Bacterial small subunit ribosomal RNA", at positions 524 to 776 of the family's 1533-position model. The record is from RNAcentral.